AUGAUGCCGAACCAAAACUGGACUUCCGCCAUUUCCCCCCCUCUCACUCACCGUGAACAGACCAGCACGGCAGCGCCCAAGUCCUCCCAUAGAAAUAGUUUGGUUCUUAGGUGUUCUAACCAACACCAAAGUCUCUUCACUUCACCAAGGGAUCAACAAGUGAGGAUUUGUGGGUCACUUUUAUUUUUAACGGACCGGUGCCAGAAACACUGCCUCAGCAUUUAUACGUAUGUGCAUUUCAAACGAGGGUGCGUACAAUGCUGGAUUUGUUUCACGGCUCCUGUUGGAAAAAAAGGACCUAUUCCUAAAGUCCGUCAUCCACUCACUGCAGAGGGCAAAUCCCAGUUGCCCACAUGCAAGGAGGCUGUCAAACAGAGAAAUCACUGCAGACUGUUGGUACACAGACAUCUGCUGCCCAGCUCAGAAGUAAAGUACCUUUUGUUUUGAUGAGGUGAUGGUGAGGACAGCCACAGCUUCCAUCUG
This 483-nucleotide long non-coding RNA is filed under the name Betta splendens (Siamese fighting fish). RNAcentral's name for it is "lncRNA (ENSBSLG00000004917.1)". The record is from RNAcentral. Lineage: Eukaryota; Metazoa; Chordata; Actinopteri; Anabantiformes; Osphronemidae.